RNAcentral lists this long non-coding RNA (256 nucleotides) under Nicotiana benthamiana. RNAcentral's name for it is "long non-coding RNA (NBEN_LNC034026)". The record is from RNAcentral. Lineage: Eukaryota; Viridiplantae; Streptophyta; Magnoliopsida; Solanales; Solanaceae.
UUCAUGGAUUGACAUAUAAGUUAAGUCAUAUAAGCCAUAUAAUAGACUUUAGAUGCAUAUCAAGUUUUCAUGUCAUGCUAAACGAAUAAGAUAUCGAAAACUGAUUAUACAUACCUUUGACUUUAUACUUUCAAGUAUUUGAACUAUAUGUUCAAAUCUACAUGUCUUUCAUAUGGAACCAAGUAUUUUUCUAUACGCUUCAAGCAUAUCCAAGACUUUGUCCUUCUGGGACUUAAUAUGAGCAUUUGUAUUGAGA